UUAUGGUCAAACCACACUGAAAAUACCAGUUCUUGUUUGAUUACUGAGGUUAAGCAGUGUUGAGCCCUGUUAGUACUUAGAUGGGAGACCACUUGGGAACACCAAGUACUGUAAG
This is a non-coding RNA of Acanthosepion pharaonis, 115 nucleotides long. The record is from the annotation of a GenBank genome assembly. NCBI's taxonomy places the organism in Eukaryota, Metazoa, Mollusca, Cephalopoda, Sepiida, Sepiidae.